UGGGUUCUUGCUUCAACAGUGUUUGAACGGGACCCG
Anolis carolinensis (green anole) is the source of this 36-nucleotide regulatory RNA element. It matches the Rfam family "Iron response element I". The record is from Rfam. Lineage: Eukaryota; Metazoa; Chordata; Lepidosauria; Squamata; Anolidae.